AGUGAACGCUGGCGGUAGGCCUAACACAUGCAAGUCGAACGGCAGCACAGUAAGAGCUUGCUCUUACGGGUGGCGAGUGGCGGACGGGUGAGGAAUACGUCGGAAUCUACUUUUUCGUGGGGGAUAACGUAGGGAAACUUACGCUAAUACCGCAUACGACCUACGGGUGAAAGCAGGGGAUCUUCGGACCUUGCGCGAUUGAAUGAGCCGAUGUCGGAUUAGCUAGUUGGCGGGGUAAAGGCCCACCAAGGCGACGAUCCGUAGCUGGUCUGAGAGGAUGAUCAGCCACACUGGAACUGAGACACGGUCCAGACUCCUACUGGAGGCAGCAGUGGGGAAUAUUGGACAAUGGGCGCAAGCCUGAUCCAGCCAUACCGCGUGGGUGAAGAAGGCCUUCGGGUUGUAAAGCCCUUUUGUUGGGAAAGAAAAGCAGCAGGUUAAUACCCCGCUGUUCUGACGGUACCCAAAGAAUAAGCACCGGCUAACUUCGUG
This 492-nucleotide ribosomal RNA is filed under the name uncultured bacterium. RNAcentral's name for it is "partial 16S ribosomal RNA". It matches the Rfam family "Bacterial small subunit ribosomal RNA", at positions 29 to 507 of the family's 1533-position model. The record is from RNAcentral.